This 219-nucleotide small nucleolar RNA is filed under the name Zostera marina. RNAcentral's name for it is "Plant small nucleolar RNA U3". It matches the Rfam family "Plant small nucleolar RNA U3". From Rfam's summary of the family: Small nucleolar RNAs (snoRNAs) are involved in the processing and modification of rRNA in the nucleolus. There are two main classes of snoRNAs: the box C/D class, and the box H/ACA class. The record is from Rfam by way of RNAcentral. Lineage: Eukaryota; Viridiplantae; Streptophyta; Magnoliopsida; Alismatales; Zosteraceae.
ACGACCUUACUUGAACAGGAUCUGUUCUAUAGGAUCGUACUACUAUUCCCUUAAGUAAUAAGGAGACUAGUCAACAAGUUUGGUGGAUGAAAAAUAAUCCUUUGACCAGAGCGUGAUUGACUGAUAAAUUGGGUUUCAAUUAAAUCAUGUAGAUGAUCGUUCUCAGAUAUUGGGUUUGCUUACCCAUUCUGUGAAGGUCUUGGGGUUUUCUGACAGAUU